GAUGAACGCUGGCUGUAUGGAUAAGGCAUGCAAGUCGAACGGCCCGCAAGGGCAGUGGCAGACGAGGUAGUAACACGUACGAACGUACUCCCAAGUCGGGCAUAGCUCGCCGGAAGGCGGGGUAAUUCCCGAUAGUCCCUACGGGGUAAAGAUUUAUCGCUUGGGAAGCGGCGUGCGUAGUAUCAGCUUGUUGGUAAGGU
RNAcentral lists this ribosomal RNA (200 nucleotides) under uncultured bacterium. RNAcentral describes it as "partial 16S ribosomal RNA". It matches the Rfam family "Bacterial small subunit ribosomal RNA", at positions 28 to 258 of the family's 1533-position model. The record is from RNAcentral.